Molecule: long non-coding RNA, 322 nt
Filed under: Daphnia pulicaria
Lineage: Eukaryota; Metazoa; Arthropoda; Branchiopoda; Diplostraca; Daphniidae
Description: uncharacterized LOC124314496, transcript variant X3
Source: RNAcentral
UGGAGCAUUUCCAUUAUGAAAGAAAUCUAGCCUGUAAUUUCAAAUCUGCCAAAUCACCUUAUCAGUUAUCACGUGUGGCCUGAAACCGAUGUCGUUGAUUGCUACUUGUAUCGGUUGUAUGUAUAACCCAUGCAGAAACACUUGACAGCCAAACAUCCAAGUAUGAGCUGCAGCCAGUUGGUGGAAGGUGUGAACAAGUCAGCUGUUGUAUUCAGUUUGUGAGGCAUCCCAUGCAGAAACCAGAAAAGAUUCACAAAAAGGUAAAAUUUUGUCCGCCAGGUGGUGGAGUGUCUGAUCGUGAGUGACGAAGCUGCCAUUUGCU